UCCAGGGUAGCCUAGUGGACAUGGCAUCUGCUCGGUAAGCGGAACACUGUUGGGUUCGAUUCUCAUCCCUGGAC
This 74-nucleotide transfer RNA is filed under the name Cordylochernes scorpioides. RNAcentral's name for it is "tRNA-Thr". It matches the Rfam family "tRNA". From Rfam's summary of the family: Transfer RNA (tRNA) molecules are approximately 80 nucleotides in length. Lineage: Eukaryota; Metazoa; Arthropoda; Arachnida; Pseudoscorpiones; Chernetidae. The record is from RNAcentral.